GCAAACUUGGUCAUUUAGAGGAAGUAAAAGUCGUAACAAGGUUUCCGUAGGUGAACCUGCGGAAGGAUCAUUAAUGAAGUUGGUGUUGGUGGAGGGGUUGUUGGUGGAGGGAGUGAGGGGGGGAGAGGAUGCUUUGCUUUUCUUUGCUUUGCUUUUCUUUUCCUCUUGCUCUGCUCGCCACGCGCCACUCGACAUUUACGCUUGUCCAGUUUGACAGAGUAACGGUGAACAACGAGAUAGACAACUUUUAACAAUGGAUCUCUUGGCUCUUGCAUCGAUGAAGAACGCAGC
RNAcentral lists this unclassified non-coding RNA (291 nucleotides) under uncultured fungus. RNAcentral describes it as "partial contains small subunit ribosomal RNA, internal transcribed spacer 1, and 5.8S ribosomal RNA". The stretch from base 1 to 73 matches the Rfam family "Eukaryotic small subunit ribosomal RNA", at positions 1759 to 1831 of the family's 1831-position model. The record is from RNAcentral. Lineage: Eukaryota; Fungi.